UCUUGUCACACACGCCCGUGGCAGUCCAAGCCCAAUCAACAAUGCCGAGAGAGAGAGUGAGAUGUCCGUCUGAGAAUCGCAACAACUCCGGCGAAGAAGUGCCGAUCAGCGAGAAGAAGACGCUUCGAUUCAAUGGAUCUCUCUCUCUAGGGCACAAUUACGUCAAUGACAUUUAAAUAGUGCUCGGUUUCUAUGGAAACAAUUCAAUUCCUUCCUCGAUCAAGGAAAGCCGGGCCUCAAGUGGUGGCUAGAGAAGCUCGAGAUGUUGUGGCAUCAUUCUCAGGGUUAUGAAUUAGUUAGAGGAUAGGACUCUUUGUUGUCUUCUUUUACAGAGAGAUGUUUUACCUUGUGGCACUUGUCGUCUUCUUGUCGAACUUUACACCAAAAGAUGUUUGAGCUACUGCUGUGUGCUUAUUCGACAGUAAACAUUCAAGAUACAGCUCUUUUGUUGGGAAUGAAUGAUGAUGAUGCAACAAAUUGUAAGUUUCUAACCACUCAGUCUUUGGCCUAUGAUGACAUCAAUACUUUCCUGAAUCAGAAUAAUAUUCGUGGUAAAAUAGUUUUAACAGUGAGAGCAUACCCAUUGUUCUGAAGAUGUAAUUCUGCCAUCAUCUUGUUGUUUCUUUGAAAUCAAAUGUUCAUCAACUUUGUUUCUGUACAACAAUGAAAGCCCCCAAAUUAAUAUAUGCCUUGACCAAUAAAUUUGUUGUAAAGAAGUUUCCUCCACUUCGUUUUCAUUCUUAUUAGAUUGCCUCUUGGCUUGUAUUUGCUUUGUUUCACGUCUGCUUGUAAAAUU
Long non-coding RNA from Camellia sinensis, 796 nucleotides. RefSeq lists it as uncharacterized. The record is from RefSeq and is a predicted model, not a curated record. NCBI's taxonomy places the organism in Eukaryota, Viridiplantae, Streptophyta, Magnoliopsida, Ericales, Theaceae.